RNAcentral lists this ribosomal RNA (253 nucleotides) under uncultured bacterium. RNAcentral's name for it is "partial 16S ribosomal RNA". It matches the Rfam family "Bacterial small subunit ribosomal RNA", at positions 524 to 776 of the family's 1533-position model. The record is from RNAcentral.
UACGUAGGGGGCAAGCGUUGUCCGGAAUCAUUGGGCGUAAAGCGCGUGUAGGCGGCUGAGUAAGUCUGCUCUGAAAGCCCGGGGCUCAACCCCGGGAGGCGGGUGGAUACUGCUCAGCUCGAGUCCGGAAGAGGAGUGUGGAAUUCCUGGUGUAGCGGUGAAAUGCGUAGAUAUCAGGAGGAACACCGGUGGCGAAAGCGCUCGUCUGGCCCAAUACUGACGCUGAUGCGCGAAAGCUAGGGGAGCAAACGGG